Molecule: transfer RNA, 72 nt
Filed under: Caballeronia pedi
Lineage: Bacteria; Pseudomonadati; Pseudomonadota; Betaproteobacteria; Burkholderiales; Burkholderiaceae
Description: Burkholderia pedi tRNA-Met
Source: RNAcentral
AGAGCGUUGCCGCACUCGGGAACGGGACCGCUCAUCGCGGUCGCGAUCGGUUCCAUCGCCGGCAUGUUCGUC